Non-coding RNA from Rattus norvegicus (Norway rat), 102 nucleotides. The record is from Rfam. NCBI's taxonomy places the organism in Eukaryota, Metazoa, Chordata, Mammalia, Rodentia, Muridae.
AUGAGGGGUUAAGAGUUCAUUCGGCUGUCCAGAUGUAUCCAAGUACCCUGUUAUUUGGCAAUAAAUACAUCUGGGCAACUGAUUGAACUUUUCGCUUCUCUU